GGUGGGGGCGGUUGUAU
This 17-nucleotide microRNA is filed under the name Macrophomina phaseolina MS6. RNAcentral describes it as "miR-4447". The record is from RNAcentral. Lineage: Eukaryota; Fungi; Ascomycota; Dothideomycetes; Botryosphaeriales; Botryosphaeriaceae.